RNAcentral lists this ribosomal RNA (36 nucleotides) under Typhlodromus phialatus. Its description in RNAcentral is "partial 18S ribosomal RNA". The record is from RNAcentral. Lineage: Eukaryota; Metazoa; Arthropoda; Arachnida; Mesostigmata; Phytoseiidae.
GGAAGGUAAAAGUCGUAACAAGGUUUCCGUAGGUGA